RNAcentral lists this long non-coding RNA (5257 nucleotides) under Gossypium barbadense (sea-island cotton). RNAcentral describes it as "long non-coding RNA (GBAR_LNC015703)". Lineage: Eukaryota; Viridiplantae; Streptophyta; Magnoliopsida; Malvales; Malvaceae. The record is from RNAcentral.
UACCAUCCCUACUAGCCGUCGCAUGCACCUUCCUUCCUGAAUUCCUCGCAACAUUCCCUCUUUCAACAAGAUUUUCGAAAUCUAUCCCCUCACCCUUGGCCUCCAAAAUAACAAAACGAGAACCUUCAAAUCGGCCAUGAUCGCCAACAUUCCUACCUUGCGAUGAGUCACUCAUCUUACCCCUCUGUCGACGUUCGACAACCAUCCAUGGGCCAAAUUCCUCCUCCUUGGCCCUAGAUUGGAGAUUUGACUUUUGAACUCUCGAACCACCUUCCACCGUCGUAUCCUCCGCCAUAGGCGCAUUUUUCUCGUAGCACAGCGUCGAGCUGUGGCCAUAGAGCCCACACGAGAAACAAAUAUUGGGUUAUCCUUCGUAUUCAACUCUUUGAAUCCUUCCAUUUAUUCUUAUUUUUGAAACUAAUGGCUUUUGCAGAUCCACACUAACAACCAGUCUCGUAAAUCUCUCUCUGACUGCUGCAUCUGUUCCAGCAUCAAUCUGAAACACUAGUCUGAUCAUACUUUCGAUGGUCCUUAGCAAAAAGUCAGAGUAAAACCCUUCAAACAGUCCUAGUAAUUGGAUCCAAACCAGUUGUUUGUCCACCUCACUGUUACUUGUUGAGAAAUCCGCAGACCAAGCUCUCACCGACAAGUAAUGACCGAAUACCACCCAUGGGCCACCCAACAGUACCUUGUCAAAGUCACCCUUAUCUUGGAAAUGGACAAGGUAAAAAUCGUUCUCCAGAUCCAAUAACUGAAAUUUACCUUUUAAAUUUCAUAGAGCAGAUACCUUAUUGAGCAAGGCUUUGAAACCUAUUUUCCUACCCAACAGCUUGAUCACAACUGUUAGAGCCAUUUUCUUUUCAAUGAAUCUAUGAACCUGAUCCGAAAACGUAAUGGAAGGGAUCCCGUUACCAUCUCUGUCGUCCCAUCCGUAUCUUGUAACUCAAAGUCCUCAUCCAUACAAACAUCCCCAUUUGGAAUCGAUAAAGCACCCAUUAACUUAGCCUUAUACGAGUCCUUUGCUACAUUGUCCUCUUGCACUGUCUGGCCAUUCCCAUCUAUUAUCGGAUCAGUCAUUAUCUCUGGCUGACGCCUGACCCUUUUCGUAGCCCUUCCAACACCACAGUCCGAGGCUAUAGAGUUAGAACCAAUAGCAAAGUUAACCAACGAGAGAGUUUCAGACAUGUUAAAAUCCUCUUCUCUAUUUCUAUUUUUUUAAUAAUUGGGUAAUGAAAAUGGAUAUUAAGGAUUGAAUCCAAAUAAGAGUCUUAUUUUCUUUUGGGCCAUAAAAGAAAUUCAUUCCAUAAAAAAGAUUUAUUAAGAGUGGAACAUGACUUGUAGCUUUGGUUGGUUUGAUUUAAAAAUAUUUGAUUUGUCAGAAUUAGUUGCGGAAAAUUAAGGUCCUUCUAGUACUUAAUCAACAUAUUUUAUAGUAUUUUUAUAUGUUUUGAUUUCAUUUUUAGUUUUUAUUGUUUUAUGUUUAAAUUAUGCAAAAUAAACGUUUUUAUACAAUUUUGAGUUAUGUAAUAAUCUAAUGGGCCACUAUGGGCUUAGGGAUGAUCUAACGACUCUAUCUAGUGUGUAGGACACUGUUUUUGGGCUUAGAAAACGAAGGACGACUGUAGCAUUGAAACACGUGACACCGAGGAGUGGUGUCCAAAGUACCCAGAAAUUAAAGGCAGUGUCACGACACCAGUCUUGUGGUGUCACAACAUCAAGUGAAGAGAUGAAAUUUUAAUUAAGGUAUUUUUUGUCCACACAAAGUAACUUAAACAGCUUUUUUGGGUUGUUUAAUAACCUUAAUUAGGUCUGAUCAUAAACUCUAUAAAUAGAUAUUUUAAGUCUCAUUUGAGGAGGCUUGACUAAUUGAGUCACUUAGUUAUUUUAGGGUUUUACUUUAGUUUUUAUUUUCUUCCAAUUUAAUCCUUUACAUACUUUUUGUUCUUGUUUAACUUGGAUUCAAUUGUGCUCCAAUAGUUUAAUAUAUUAGUUUUUUUGUUAUUUCUUCGUGGAUUCCAAUUGCAAUCGAAGGGAUCUUCGUGACUAUCAAAGGAGAUUCGCUUUCGAGCUCAAAUCGAUAUUGAAACGAACUUAUUUUUCUAUUCCUUACUUUUAUUUAAUUUACUGUUUUUUUAUGUUAAAUAUGAGUUUAAGGAUUAUUGCAUCUAGACCACGAAGAGCUAAUUUCCUUAGGGAGAUUAACGAACGAAUGUGUGACUAAUUAACGGAUGAAUUAAGGUUGAGAUUCGAGUUAGCUGGUUUAAAUUAUGUGCGACUAAACCCUAGGAAGUAACACCCCUAGGAAGUAAUUUAGGAUAAACGAGAUCGAGAGAUAAGUUUACUGAGUACCUCAUAAUUUAUCCAGGUUAAGAAAGUGAGAACAAGAGGUAAGCGAGUAUUGGUCGAUUAGUUAAUUAGUUAGAGACUGAAAGGUAAUAAUUGAUUAAUUAAUAGCUAACUCGAUAAAACCUAAGUUCUGAAGUUAAUUAGGAGCACUGAAGUGAGUUGAUAUCCUUCUUGUUUUAUUGGAUUAAAUUUGGUUGUUAAUUGGUUGAUUUUUAGUUUAAUUUAAUUAAUUGAUGUUAAUUUUAUUUUUUGUAAUAUAAUUUUAAAUUGAUAUUAUUUAACCUCAUUAAUGUAGAGAGUUAAUUUAGGUCUAAUUCAACCUCCCUUGAGUAUGAUCCUUGGAAUGUUUCUCGAAGUGUUUUUUUGUAAUACUAAUCUGUAUUACAAUUUGACCUGUAUAUUUGCGGACAUCACUGUUUAAUUAUUUAUCUAUUUUAUUGCAAUAUUUUUAGUUCAGGUGUUCGCAACAUUGACCAUUUGGGUAAUGAUGUUUGGUAGAUUAGAGAAGAAUAAAUCAUAAUUUGGGGAAACUUCCCUCAGAGUCAAGACACUCUCUUAUUGGUGUCGCGGCAUUGAUUUUUUGUCCUCGUAGUCGCGAUUCUCCCCUAUUAAGGUUGCAACAUUGAAUCCCCCUGCCUUCAAGGUCGCAACUCACCUCGAUUAAAGUCGCGAUGCAUGUUUCUGUCUUCAAUGUUAUGAUAUGUCUACAUCAUGGUCGUGAUAUCUCAUUUGUCUUUUGAAAAUUUUACGUUUUAUUCCUUCCAUUAAUAUCGAUGUUAACAAGGGAUUUCAUAUACUAGUUUAUAAUCUGAAUUUAAUUUAAUAAUACGGUUAUUAAGUUUUGGAACCUGAUAACUUGUUUAUUAGAUAUGCAAAUGCAAUUGUCGUUGUUUUGACAACAAAUUUAACAUUUCACAUCUCGGAUCUCGCGAUUAGUUCAGGUGUGGGAUGUUGUAUAUUACCAUAAUCUUAUUCACACAUAUGAUUUGCUUGGAUGGUAACCAAGUCCUGGUGGCAAUAGCUUGCAACGCAACAUAUGUCAGUUCCAACUCAAAAAAUUCUAAAAUCUUGCCCAUUAGGCCAAAUCUUCCUCAAUCCGUUAGUAAAAAGUUCUACCAAAUUGUCCUUGUCAAGGGUGGAGUCCGUCUUCUCUUGAAUGCUUCAAAUACUUGAUGAUAGUUGGACUAAAGAUGAAAUAAAGUCCACGAACAUAUGUUUGCAUAAAGUGUUUAUCAUUAGGAUCAGUGACUGUCUUCUAAAGAUUGGUCCAAAACCAUUUUUUGGACAUAAGGCUUGACACAACACGCAGAGAAUAACAGGGCUUAGUUUUCUAAGAAAAAAAACAUCAACUCCAUGCUUCAAAAAACAUGCCUCCUUGAUUUUUUUCAUUGAUGAAGCCUUUUUGUGCCAUCAAUCUCAUCCUUUUUGGUACACGCAGUGUUUAGAAACUCAAGCUUUUUAGGUUUAGGAGUGAUUUGCACUUCUUCAAGCAUUUUAGCAGCACCCACGAUUUUGAGCCUUUUGUUUAUUUGCUUCGAUUUCAAUGGAACAUUGGGUCUCUUGGUUCUUUUCCUAGUAGUUUGAGGCAUCAAAUUGGAAAGAUGUACAUCAUCAUCAUCAUCAUCAUCAACAUGUGCUUUUUCUUUACCCUUAUCAGAAACUUUCUUCUUUUCAUUAGCUCCUUCAAUAACCUUAGUAAUAGCAACCAAAGUUACAUGUUAAGUUGUAAUACGAUUCCACCUCUCUUUGUCACCAUAUGACAAUCCUUGAAACUUUGGGUCAAUAUUAGUAAUUCCAAUCACUAUAUAAACUCUUACUGAUGUGGUCAACGGCCAAAUCUUAAACAUUUUGGGGUUCUUUCUUUAUCAACCUAUCUAUCUCCUCUAUAGUCUUUCUAUUCAUUUCCUUUAAGGAUUCUAGGGCAUUAAAUGCCAAAUCCCCAAUUUCAUCUUAAGACUUUGAUUGAGUGAAAAUUUUUAAUUAAGGCUUAAUUGAUUUUUUAAAAUUAUUUUAGGACUUUUUUAACAUUUAAGCCUACUUGUUAUACAUAAUUCAUGCCUUCAACUAUAGUUUAAGGGGCACUUGUGGCAUUCACUUAAAAACUAAGUUCGAUUUAGAAUUUGUUGUAUAUAAUUGUAGGUUAAAGUAAUUUUAGAUUAUUUCCCAACUUCUUGAUUAGCAAACUUCAAUAAUUUCGAGUUUAAGUUAUAUCAAAUGUUAAUAUUUUCAAUUUCAUAAAUUGUUUAUAUAUUUUUUUAAUAUUUAGUAAUUUCAAGUUCAAAUUAAAGUUUAGGUAAUCUUUUUUGCUUCUCUAUAUUAAAGUUAUUGAAGGGAGGUCAACUCCAUCAAAAAUUGAAGGGAGGUCAACUACAUCAAGAGAAACCUGCAAAGCGUCAUUUGCCAGAAGCCAAUGAACCCCUUAAUGGGUGUUAUUACCCCCUGUGGGGGCUUGGUCUCCCAACUUUGUUGAGAGCCUAAAGAGGCAAUAACUUCAUAGGGAGGGAACGCUUUGGGUGCUUGAGAAGGUGAAGUUCAAGUGGUAGCAUAUUUACUCAACAAUGCCCUAUAUGCUAUAGGGUAUGAGGUUUCUUUGGUGGGUGAUCAUGCAUAACACGCAUAGUUUGUCUUCUCAAGCACUUGACGAGAUGCUUCCACUUUGGAAAUCUGCCGUCUCUUUGGACACUUAAACUCUUAGCAAAGUUGUAAAACAAAACUCCAAUGGGGAGAAAACUAAUUCGUUGAGGAGUCCUCAACAAAAUUGUUUUAGGUUUAAACUCAAUCGGCUACAACUUAAGUUUAGACAAUAAAGAGUUCUUAGUUAUUUAAUUUUUGUAUUUAAAAAAAAUAAUUUUAGCCUUCGAUUUAAUUUGUCACUUUUUUUAGCUCUUAAACUUGUGUUGUUUGUCAAAUC